This 90-nucleotide microRNA precursor is filed under the name Procavia capensis (Cape rock hyrax). RNAcentral's name for it is "miRNA (ENSPCAG00000020009.1)". Lineage: Eukaryota; Metazoa; Chordata; Mammalia; Hyracoidea; Procaviidae. The record is from RNAcentral.
UAUAUAUUUGUGUAUGUUUGUAUGUACCUGUGUGUGUGUACAUAUGUACAUACAUACACACACACACACACACACACACACACACACACA